UACGGGGGGGGCAAGCGUUGUUCGGAAUUACGGGGCGUAAAGGGCUCGUAGGCGGCCAACUAAGUCAUACGUGAAAUCCCUCGGCUUAACCGGGGAACUGCGUCUGAUACUGGAUGGCUUGAGAUUGGGAGAGGGAUGCGGAAUUCCUGGUGUAGCGGUGGAAUGCGCAGAUAUCAGGAGGAACACCGGUGGCGAAGGCGGGUCUCUGGGCAGUAACUGACGCUGAGGAGCGAAAGCGUGGGGAGCGAACAGG
Molecule: ribosomal RNA, 253 nt
Filed under: uncultured bacterium
Lineage: Bacteria
Description: partial 16S ribosomal RNA
Rfam family: Bacterial small subunit ribosomal RNA
Source: RNAcentral